UACGGAGGAUCCAAGCGUUAUCCGGAAUCAUUGGGUUUAAAGGGUCCGUAGGCGGUUUUGUAAGUCAGUGGUGAAAGCCCAUCGCUCAACGGUGGAACGGCCAUUGAUACUGCAAGACUUGAAUUAUUGGGAAGUAACUAGAAUAUGUAGUGUAGCGGUGAAAUGCUUAGAGAUUACAUGGAAUACCAAUUGCGAAGGCAGGUUACUAUCAAUAUAUUGACGCUGAUGGACGAAAGCGUGGGGAGCGAACAGG
This 253-nucleotide ribosomal RNA is filed under the name uncultured bacterium. RNAcentral describes it as "partial 16S ribosomal RNA". It matches the Rfam family "Bacterial small subunit ribosomal RNA", at positions 524 to 776 of the family's 1533-position model. The record is from RNAcentral.